RNAcentral lists this ribosomal RNA (253 nucleotides) under uncultured bacterium. RNAcentral's name for it is "partial 16S ribosomal RNA". It matches the Rfam family "Archaeal small subunit ribosomal RNA", at positions 474 to 727 of the family's 1478-position model. The record is from RNAcentral.
UACCAGCACCCCGAGUGGUCGGGACGAUUAUUGGGCCUAAAGCAUCCGUAGCCGGUUCUGCAAGUCCCCCGUUAAAUCCAGCUGCUCAACAGAUGGGCCGCGGAGGAUACUACAGAGCUAGGAGGCAGGAGAGGCAAGCGGUACUCAGUGGGUAGGGGUAAAAUCCGUUGAUCCAUUGAAGACCACCAGUGGCGAAGGCGGCUCACUGGACCGGAACUGACGCUGAGGCGCGAAAGCGUGGGGAGCAAACAGG